CCGGAUGCUUAGGGCUUGUUGUUCACUUUGUUUCUAGGUGGAAAAGGAAAGAGAUUUAGAGCUUAGCAAGCAGCUCUCAGAGCAGUUCGACACACUGAACAGAGAGCAUGAAGAGAACCUCCGAGAAGUCCAGAGGGCCCAUGACCAGGAGAUGGUGCUCUUAAGGGAAUCCUACCAAAGGUCCCAGUCUUCCUUACAGGAGACAAUUGACAGGUUAAAUUCCCAGCUGAAGUCCUUCCAGGAGAAAAUGAAACAGGUGGAGGAAUCGAUCGUGAGCAGAGACUAUAAGAAACUUAUUCAGGUGCAGGAAAACAAACAAACUGUGGCCUCUUGGGAAGGUAUUUCUUUAACCCGUCAUUUGCC
This 363-nucleotide long non-coding RNA is filed under the name Gopherus evgoodei (Goodes thornscrub tortoise). Its description in RNAcentral is "lncRNA (ENSGEVG00005014286.1)". The record is from RNAcentral. Lineage: Eukaryota; Metazoa; Chordata; Testudines; Testudinidae.